CUACAACCUCGAUGAUUGGCUUUAGGAUAUAUUUUUCAACAAGAGCAGCCUAAGGGUUUCACAUCUAAUGAUAGUGAUCACAAAAUUUGCAAGCUAUAAAGGUCCAUUUAUGGAUUUAAGCAAACAUCUCAAAGUUCAAACAUCUACUUUAAUAAUGUGAUCAAAUCAUUUGAUUUCAUUAGAAAUGAGGAGGGGGCCUAUG
This 202-nucleotide long non-coding RNA is filed under the name Elaeis guineensis (African oil palm). RNAcentral describes it as "long non-coding RNA (EGUI_LNC064051)". The record is from RNAcentral. Lineage: Eukaryota; Viridiplantae; Streptophyta; Magnoliopsida; Arecales; Arecaceae.